UACGAAGGGUGCAAGCGUUACUCGGAAUUACUGGGCGUAAAGAGCGCGCAGGCGGUCGUUCAAGUCGCGUGUGAAAGCCCCCGGCUCAACUGGGGAGGGUCACGCGAUACUGAUCGACUCGAAGGCAGGAGAGGGUAGUGGAAUUCCCGGUGUAGUGGUGAAAUGCGUAGAUAUCGGGAGGAACACCAGUGGCGAAGGCGACUACCUGGCCUGUUCUUGACGCUGAGGCGCGAAAGCUAGGGGAGCAAACGGG
This 253-nucleotide ribosomal RNA is filed under the name uncultured bacterium. Its description in RNAcentral is "partial 16S ribosomal RNA". It matches the Rfam family "Bacterial small subunit ribosomal RNA", at positions 524 to 776 of the family's 1533-position model. The record is from RNAcentral.